Molecule: ribosomal RNA, 491 nt
Filed under: uncultured bacterium
Lineage: Bacteria
Description: partial 16S ribosomal RNA
Rfam family: Bacterial small subunit ribosomal RNA
Source: RNAcentral
AGUGAACGCUGGCGGUAGGCCUAACACAUGCGAGUCGAACGGCAGCACAGUAAGAGCUUGCUCUUACGGGUGGCGAGUGGCGGACGGGUGAGGAAUACAUCGGAAUCUACUUUUUCGUGGGGGAUAACGUAGGGAAACUUACGCUAAUACCGCAUACGACCUACGGGUGAAAGCAGGGGAUCUUCGGACCUUGCGCGAUUGAAUGAGCCGAUGUCGGAUUAGCUAGUUGGCGGGGUAAAGGCCCACCAAGGCGACGAUCCGUAGCUGGUCUGAGAGGAUGAUCAGCAACACGGGAACUGAGAAACGGUCCAGACCCCUAGGGGAGGCAGAGGGGGGGAAUAUUGGACAAUGGGCGCAAGCCUGAUCCAGCCAUACCGCGUGGGUGAAGAAGGCCUUCGGGUUGUAAAGCCCUUUUGUUGGGAAAGAAAAGCGGCAGGUUAAUACCCCGCUGUUCUGACGGUACCCAAAGAAUAAGCACCGGCAAACUUCGU